Molecule: long non-coding RNA, 987 nt
Filed under: Manihot esculenta (cassava)
Lineage: Eukaryota; Viridiplantae; Streptophyta; Magnoliopsida; Malpighiales; Euphorbiaceae
Description: long non-coding RNA (MESC_LNC000805)
Source: RNAcentral
AUAAUAUGAACAAUAGGAUUGAAAUUUUUCAGCCAAUUAAAAUUCCCCAAUCUCAAUAAGCAAACACAAAUACUUUAUAAUUGCGAAAACAACAACGACCCCACUUAAGAGAGAGAGAGAAAUGACAUGACGAUUAUUCUUAGGUACAAGACAAGCACUAAAUCAUAAUUACUGACGAAUGAUGAUGAUCCUGGAGGACCUUAUGUAUAUAUGACACAACUUGGCCUGUCAGGACGAUUUCUGGCAGGGCAAAGGGAGCUCACACAAAAGGAGCCAACAACUAUACGCCAUGAGUUUUCUUGGAACAACUGCAGAAAACAGAAGGGUCAGUGACAUACAAAGGCAAUCAGGUGAAUCCCUGGAGCCAACUUGGGAGAAACCUGCCAGAGUAGAAUUCCAACAAUUGAUGCAUAAAAAUUUAGCAUCACCAAGCAAAAGAAGACGACGUGGUAAGUUCAAGGCUAAAUAGCAAAGUUUCCAUUGCUAUUGACAGCCCACAAGGCUGCAAAGCACAAAUGUGUUGGCCCAUCCUUUCUUCUUGCUGGGGAUUGCUAAUGCUUCUAAUUAUAUCAGCUGGACGCUCUUGGAUAUUGCUUUCCAUCUCAACUUCAUUGCCGGUUGGGCUCUUUUAUCGGUUCCAUGGAUUGCUCACGAGCUGAAAAAGAGAAGGAAAAGUUACUUUUAUACCAUAAUUCUGUUAAAAAAAUAGUCUAAUUGAUAGUGGGUUCACUCAAUAUAAAACCACAGAACAGGCAUUGCUAUUUUUGUAAAUUUUCUAUGAUGGCAUUGGUUAAUUCAGCUAUUAAAAACAGCAGAAAUAAGCUAGAAAUUAAAGAAAAAGAAAAGAUUGGAGGGUGGGAUGGACCUUGUCCAAAUUGGAGUGAAGCGGGAGAGAGAUGUUGCUUUUCGCCCAUCAGGCCCUUUUAUAGUGUCUUAAGUGUCUUGAGAAAAUGGGACAGAGCUUUGUAGGUAACGAAUUGAUUGAUU